Myotis davidii is the source of this 407-nucleotide long non-coding RNA. RefSeq lists it as uncharacterized. The record is from RefSeq and is a predicted model, not a curated record. The transcript is spliced from 3 exons. Lineage: Eukaryota; Metazoa; Chordata; Mammalia; Chiroptera; Vespertilionidae.
CAAGUACUCCUUGAGGUGAGUAGAUAAAAAUCAGUGGUUUCGAAGAGACAAAAAUUCAGAGGUGUGUGGGUCCAUUUUGUCAUCCCUAGGAGUAAGACCUUCACUCUGAAGAAGCCAAAAACUCUCCCCAUGAAGCAAAGGAGAGUGUUCCAAGCUCCUGACCUGAGAGGGGUGCUAGAAGCCUUUACUGAACUGACAGAUGUGCGACGCUACUGGGUUGAAGGAAAGCUUUUCAACAACUUUUAUUGAAGACCUUGAAUAGAAGUCAUUCACUACAGAAUGAAUCCUCAGAGGUCUGUCUGUUUACCCGUGAUGUUUGUUAUUCAUCAAGGAGUGAAGAAGAAAAUAUUGAAUGUGGGUUUUAAUUGAUUUCUUAGAGAGAGAGGAAGGGAGAGGUAGAGAGAGAU